RNAcentral lists this ribosomal RNA (424 nucleotides) under Gerris insularis. RNAcentral's name for it is "partial 16S large subunit ribosomal RNA". Lineage: Eukaryota; Metazoa; Arthropoda; Insecta; Hemiptera; Gerridae. The record is from RNAcentral.
GAUAUGAACUCUCCGAAAAAAUUACGCUGUUAUCCCUAAGGUAAGUUAAUCUUAUAAUCAAAAAUUUUGGAUCAAAAAAACAUAUAUUAAUGAAUAAAAAUAUUAAAAGUUAAAUAAAUUUUAAUGUCACCCCAACAAAACUUUAUAUUCUAAAAAAUUAUUUUAUAAACAAAAAACAAAAAUUAAUAAAUAAAGUUAACUUCUAUAGGGUCUUCUCGUCCUAUAAAAAAAUUUUAGCUUUUUAACUAAAAAAUUAAAUUCAAAAUAAUUGAGAAAAGAAAGUUUAUUUUUCAUCAAACCAUUCAUACUAGCCUUCAAUUAAAAGACAAAUGAUUAUGCUACCUUCGUACAGUUAAAAUACCGCAGCCUUUUAAUUCAAAAAAAUCAAUGGGCAGGCCUGAUCUUAAAUUAAAAUCAAAAGAAC